UGGGGAAUAUUGCACAAUGGAGGAAACUCUGAUGCAGCGACGCCGCGUGAGUGAAGAAGGUCUUCGGAUCGUAAAACUCUGUCCUUGGUGACGAAAAAAAUGACGGUAGCCAAGGAGGAAGCCCCGGCUAACUACGUGCCAGCAGCCGCGGUAAUACGUAGGGGGCGAGCGUUGUCCGGAUUUACUGGGCGUAAAGGGUGAGUAGGCGGUAAUAUGUGUCAGAUGUAAAAGGCUAUGGCUUAACCAUAGUUGGCAUUUGAAACUGUAUUUCUUUAGUGCAGGAGAGGUAAGUGGAAUUCCUAGUGUAGCGGUGAAAUGCGUAGAUAUUAGGAGGCACACCAGUGGCGAAGGCGACUUACUGGACUGUAACUGACGCUGAGUCACGAAAGCGUGGGUAGCAAACA
RNAcentral lists this ribosomal RNA (404 nucleotides) under uncultured bacterium. RNAcentral's name for it is "bacterial SSU rRNA". It matches the Rfam family "Bacterial small subunit ribosomal RNA", at positions 355 to 774 of the family's 1533-position model. The record is from RNAcentral.